RNAcentral lists this ribosomal RNA (119 nucleotides) under Pteropus alecto (black flying fox). The record is from RNAcentral. Lineage: Eukaryota; Metazoa; Chordata; Mammalia; Chiroptera; Pteropodidae.
GUCUAUGGUCAUGCUACCCUGAACAAGUUCCAUCCCGUCUGAUCUCAGAAGCUAAGCAGGAUCAGGCCUGGUUAGUACUUGGAUGAGAGACCACCUAGGAAAACCAGAUGCUGUAGGCA